GACGAACGCUGGCGGCGUGCCUAAUACAUGCAAGUAGAGCGCACAGUUUAUACCGUAGCUUGCUACACCAUAGACUGUGGGUUGCGAACGGGUGAGUAACGCGUAGGUAACCUGCCUGGUAGCGGGGGAUAACUAUUGGAAACGAUAGCUAAUACCGCAUAAUAUUAAUUAUUGCAUGAUAAUUAAUUGAAAGGUGCAAUUGCACCACUACCAGAUGGACCUGCGUUGUAUUAGCUAGUAGGUGAGGUAACGGCUCACCUAGGCGACGAUACAUAGCCGACCUGAGAGGGUGAUCGGCCACACUGGGACUGAGACACGGCCCAGACUCCUACGGGAGGCAGCAGUAGGGAAUCUUCGGCAAUGGACGAAAGUCUGACCGAGCAACGCCGCGUGAGUGAAGAAGGGUUUCGGAUCGUAAAGCUCUGUUGUAAGAGAAGAACGGGUGUGAGAGUGGAAAGUUCACACUGUGACGGUAUCUUACCAGAAAGGGACGGCUAACUACGUG
Molecule: ribosomal RNA, 505 nt
Filed under: uncultured bacterium
Lineage: Bacteria
Description: partial 16S ribosomal RNA
Rfam family: Bacterial small subunit ribosomal RNA
Source: RNAcentral